ACAUCUCUGGUGCAGCAAUUAAUAAAGUUAGUGAGGAGACCCAGAGAGAGAGAAAGCGCGCACGCGGUUACUGUGUGUGCAGGAUGGUUUUUAGUCACCAGUGCAAAAGUUUUAAAGUGAAAGAAAAUGUGUCAGGUCAUAUAUUGAUGCAGAUGUGCGUCUCACAAAGGCUGGCUGAAAAGAAAAAGAAAAGACAUGCAAAGUUUGCGCCUGUCCGCCAGUGAAGUGAGUUUUCAGUGAAGACUUUCUGAUGAAGAGGAGGAUGAAGACAGACAAACUGCACUUUUUCCUUGCCGAAAACUGAGCUUUCCAAAAAUGAUCCCCAGAGUGGACAGUGGUGGACAAAGUACUCAGAUCCUUUACUUACUGGCCAAGGCGCAGGACUGAGAAAUAUUUUCACCACAGGACCUUCAGGCUGGUUUCCACCACAUCCACCCAUCCUAACAACUCAUGGGGAAACCACCUCAGCAAAGCUCAUCCGUUGAAAUGUUGCUGAGUCAGUUUGGGGUCAUGACAUCAUCAUCAUGAGAUGGAGGAGCUGGCGAGCAGUGACCACAGGCAGCGACAGAAGAGGGUGGUGCCUGUGUGUUGUGGUUUGUAGCUGCUGCUUCUUGGCAAACAAAUUGUGCUGUGGAGUUGCCUCAGGGAAUAAUUUGCUCAAAUGUUGAAAGGAAGAACAAAUUCAAAAGGUUUAAAAAGGCAGUAAGUAAGAUUUUUAUUGUCGCAUUGCACCAAAUGACUAUAAAACACCUGCAGGAGGCUGAUAGUGUUGUUAAUUGUCCAGGUGCUGAGGUUUCUUGGCUUUCCAAACUGUCUUUCCGGCUUGUGGGUUGUUACGGAGCAAAAUCUCCACACCCAGUGAAGUCAUGCUGAUGGUGAACACAGUAACAAACAAGUAAAAGAUUACUAGCCCUGAGCAUUUUUUUAUUUACCAGUGGUGCAAACUUCUCACGUUACAGAGAAAAAUUUGAAUCCAGAACAGGUCAUUUGUGUGAUUCAGGUAGAUCCGAUGAGUUUUUGAAAUGCGUCUAGGUCUACAAGGACAGAGUCACGGUGAGUUAAAAGGGAACCACGCCUUUUGAGUUGUCAAAAAGCAAAGAGAAACUAAAGCUCCUGGUUACUGUGUUAACAUUAGCCACUGGUGGUUCCAUUUUCUUUAUGCUAAGAUAAUAUUAGCAAGGCUAAUGCUGUCAUAACCACAACAUAAUUAAACAAUUUGUUUUUGGAUUUGUUUUGGAGCAUGAGGCUAAUUCGAUACUAAUACGAUACUACAGUGUAGACGUUACCUAGCUAAAAUGGACCUGUGUUACCUAUAAUGAAGGUUAGUUAUAAAGAAUGUUUGUUAAUGUAGCCUAAUUAUAUUGCUUAUUGCUAUUUGUGAGUAUAAAUACUGAAACAAUACUUUUUAAAACCAUGAACUGUUCUAUAAUACUAUUUUGAGUAAUUAUCACUAAAGAUGAAUAAGUUUUUAUGGGCAGCAGUGUCUUUUUUUUAUUAGUAAUUAGGCUUCCUGGCAGCUUUAUACUUUAAGACAAAAUGAUUAGACAGACGUAUAACUGAGCUUGUGCUGAAAAAAUUAUACCAUGCACUUGGAGUAAUACCAAUUUAAAAAGGUGCUGUACAAACUCAAAAUUUAAUGCAUAAAGUAGUUAGUGGAUUUACAUGCUAUUUUAUCCAAAAAUGAUUAAACAAAAAUGGACUCCCUGUAGUUUAUGAAGUUAAUUUAACAACACAGCUAAUGACAGCUGAUCUGAACUGUGUGUGCUUACAGGUGUUGGUUCCUCUGUUAAUGUGAGAGGUUUAAAGCUCAUCAUUACUCAGAAGUUUGAAAUUUAGGCAGGUAAAUUUUCUGACCCCAUAAUUCCACAUUAAACUUUAAAUAGCACUACAAUUUCCAAAACACAAGUAAAGAAUGAAUGACUGAAUGAAUUUGCUGCAUCUUUCCAGUAUCUUAUUAAUCGAAAUAAAUAAAUCAGCUUUAUUACAUUAACAUACAAUUUGGUUAAAUCCAGCUCUGGUUGUGGUAUUAUAAUGAAAGGUCAUGAAAUGCACUCACCACAUAAAUUGCUCUCACUCUAGUAAGAACAAGUGCAUAUUGUGUACAGUCUAACAAUGCUUCUGUGACAACACAUCAACUGACUGACCUCAAGGACUUUUAGUGCACUUUAGCAAGUCCGUAGAAUUAAAACACUGCUUACUUUACAGCCAUUAUUUGCUUAUAAAAAAGAUUUAGCACAUGACUAACCUUUUUUUAGUAAAUGAUAUAUAAUCAAUAUUUUCUGUGUUUGGCAGCAGUUUAUGUCAACUAGUUGAUGGAAAAACUGCAUUAAACUUUGUUUUCAAAUAUUUAAGUAAAUUGAGAAAAUUUACCUCGAACCCCAACAAAAAAUUAGUAAGCUGAUUUUAUUUAAACAACUAUGACCAGAUUUCAUGGAUGAUCAAAAAGCUGUUGAUCAUUAAGCUUCUGGGGAAGUGUUCCAGCUGAGUAACACUGGACUGUUUUGAAACUAAUACCAGGUUGUCAUUUAUGGGUUGAGUGAGUUUCAUGACCCUGUCAUGGCUGUAAAGCUACAUUGUUAAAUUUCAAAAUGUGGUUAUCAGUGAGAACUUGCAUCAUUCUUGUGAGAUUUACUUUUCCCAAAAUACAUUUUUAUGUUCCAGCAAUAGUGAUUUUCUGUUUGUCCUGAGAUUAACACCUCAGAAAGAUAUAUGUGUUUUGUGUAGAAGACAGGAGGAUGUUUACCAAUGCUCUGUCUGUAGACAUGGUAAUGCAUGAAAUACCACAUUUUGUCAUGUCCACACUGCAGAUUUGUAAACAACUUUUAUAUUUCUCUCUUUUGUCUGUCUGUACUGAAAACUGCACUUGUCUUAAAGCCUACUGUAUAAUGACACAUUUUAUGGUCCAGUGAUCCAUUUGAGAGACUUGCUGUUCUGUACAUGACAUCAAUUCACCCUAAACAACAGAAAGCUACAUGGCAGCACAACAAGCUGACCUGAAAAGGAUUUAGCUGCCUUUGUUUUUGCCAGUCAAUGUGGAGAGCAAGCAAUUUUUAUGAAACAAUUUUGUAAACACGAGUGUGGAUAAGACACACUAUUUUCAGACUUAAUCUGCAUUAAUAUGAACAUAGGCGAGGACCGGAUGACAAACAAUACUGAUGGAGACAAGAGACCAAGUGUUGCAUGUUGGCUAAAACAACAAUGACAUCCACAAUGACAGAUUCUGACACAGAAAUCUGUAUUCAUGUUUUUGACUAUUCUCUCUCACUCUCUUUGUUUUUUUUUGUGAAAUAAUAGACUUCUAUUACAUCCCAAAAAUGCUGGGAACCACUGGUUUAAUCUUUAAUAUGAAAAGUAACUAGUUGCUAUGUUUGUGAGAUAAAUGUAGUGCAGUAAAAAGUACAAUAUUUCCCUCUAAAAGUAUUACUGUAAGUAUCAUCACUGUAAGUAAAGUACAAGAAAGAAAAGGAAGACAAAUUGCUCAGCUUUUUAGUGUGUAUAGUUAACAUUUAUUUUGAGGGGACAACCAGCCCUUGUAGGAAAGAACAACUUGGCCAGUGGCUUCCAGAUCAUUUGAGUUUGAUACCCCUAAUUUAGGAGCUUGUCUGUGUUUUAUUUUAACACAUUAUGCUGUUAUCACAAAAUCUCAUUAACAAAACGCAAAGAGAAUGUAUCAAGUGUGAGAGAACAAAUGCUGAAAAAAACAAGGAAGAAAGGCGUGUGUUUGUGUGUGCAUAUGUGUGUGUUGUGUUUGAAAAAGCGUGUGAACUAGGAAGAGAGGGACAAAGACUGAACAGGAAAGAGUGCGUGUGAAGAGAGAGCAAGGUGGAGUGAGUCAGGGAGAGAGAGAAAGAGAGGAGGGGAAAUAUAUUUGUCUGCCUAUAAAGCUCAGCAUGCUUCUCGUUUUGGAUUCUGGACCCUGUCGUGUAAAGUUUAGCAGAAGUGAAUCUUGACUGUAAGAAACGAUGACAAUACACCAAUAAAACAUCUCAAACCGA
This is a long non-coding RNA of Micropterus dolomieu (smallmouth bass), 3995 nucleotides long. RefSeq lists it as uncharacterized. The record is from RefSeq and is a predicted model, not a curated record. NCBI's taxonomy places the organism in Eukaryota, Metazoa, Chordata, Actinopteri, Centrarchiformes, Centrarchidae. The transcript has 5 exons.